AUUGAACGCUGGCGGCAGGCCUAACACAUGCAAGUCGAGCGGAGCGGCGGACGGGUGAGUAAUGCCUAGGAAUCUGCCUGGUAGUGCGGGAUAACGUCCGGAAACGGGCGCUAAUACCGCAUACUAUCAGAUGAGCCUAGGUCGGAUUGGCUAGUUGGUGGGGUAAAGGCCUACCAAGGCGACGAUCCGUAACUGGUCUGAGAGGAUGAUCAGUCACACUGGAACUGAGACACGGUCCAGCGGCCUACGGGAGGCAGCAGUGGGGAAGAGUGGAAAAUGGGCGAAAGCCUGAGCCAGCCAUGCCGCGGGUGUGAGGAAGGUCUGCGGGUUGUAAAGCACUUGCAGCGGGGAGGCGUGACCCGCAGAAGAAGCACCGGCUAACUCCGUGCCAGCAGCCGCGGUAAUAC
Molecule: ribosomal RNA, 407 nt
Filed under: uncultured bacterium
Lineage: Bacteria
Description: partial 16S ribosomal RNA
Rfam family: Bacterial small subunit ribosomal RNA
Source: RNAcentral